UGAAAAAGUAAAGACUAAGAGAGGUAAAAGAGGGGCCACGUGACUAACUAAGUUAGCCCAAGCACAUGGAAAGAUUCAUCUUGACUUUGAUGAAAAGGGCCAACCGAUUGAUAAGAAAAAAGGAAAUAUUUUUAAGAUUUUUGUGGGUCCUGUGGCUUGUUAAAAGAUAAGCAUCUUGGAGGAAGAGUGGAAUGAUGUAAAAGAAAGUGAUAGAGAUGAUGUUUAGGAAACAAUACUGGUAUUUCUAAUUGCUUUAUAUCAUAUUUACUUUUAUUUUGAAAUAUAUGUUGUAACUAAAUUUAUCAUUAAUGUGUUUUUGCAUAUUACAUAUGACAUAAAGGAAACUUCAUUUUUAAAGGACAAAUGGCUAAAAUAUGCUGGGGAUUGAUGGAGGGACUUUAAGUCCAAACUUACAAAAAAAUGUUUCCUGAGAAUGACAAUGAAAACGAUGAUAGUGACAAUGAUAUUGGCGUGAAAAAACCUUGGGAGAAGUAUCCAUUCAUUGAUUAUGACACAUGGAUGAGAUUUGUUCAUAGUAGACACGAUCCUAAAUUUUUGGAAAAAAGUCAAAGGGGUCAAGAGCGUCUGAAGAAAAAUCUAUAUAACCAUACUAUGUCUCGAGGAGGUAUGCAUAUGUUUAUGACAUAAUGACUCAAGAGAAGUGGGAAGCAAAAAGACAAGCAGCUGGGGUUGAUAAUGUUGAAGAUGUUUCUCCUCCAUCUCCUAUUAAUCAUGCACAAGCAUGGAAGAGAGGAUGGAUGACUAAAAAAGAGAGUAUAUUUCCCCAGAAGCUAGAAAAGUGGCUAAAAAUUGAUGCUCUUACAGAAGUAUCCUCUCAAGGAACCUUUGUACUUACUGGUAGGAAGGAUAUAUUGGCCACAGCAUUAGGGAGUAAAGAGCAUUAUGGCCGUGUUAGGGGGUUCCAAAAGGCGUGGGCAUACACUA
This is a long non-coding RNA of Prosopis cineraria, 945 nucleotides long. RefSeq lists it as uncharacterized. Lineage: Eukaryota; Viridiplantae; Streptophyta; Magnoliopsida; Fabales; Fabaceae. The record is from RefSeq and is a predicted model, not a curated record. The transcript has 3 exons.